ACCUCCUGACAGCUGAGUCACUGCUGCUUACUGGGAAGGAGAGGGGCAAGGUGGUGGGGAGGCCAGCACAGUGCAAACACAGCGACAGAGCCAAUAUGGUAUUCCUGGUGGUGUGUUUGCACCACGCUACGCUCCCUGCCACUUUGGCCCUCUCCAUCCUUGGAAAGCAGCGGUGACUCAGCUGUCAGGAGA
RNAcentral lists this microRNA precursor (192 nucleotides) under Podarcis lilfordi (Lilford's wall lizard). Lineage: Eukaryota; Metazoa; Chordata; Lepidosauria; Squamata; Lacertidae. The record is from RNAcentral.